RNAcentral lists this ribosomal RNA (528 nucleotides) under uncultured organism. Its description in RNAcentral is "bacterial SSU rRNA". It matches the Rfam family "Bacterial small subunit ribosomal RNA", at positions 299 to 814 of the family's 1533-position model. The record is from RNAcentral.
GUUGAUCGGCNNCACAUUGGGACUGAGACACGGCCAGACUCCUACGGGAGGCAGCANGUGGGGAAUAUUGCGCAAUGGGGGGAACCCCCUGACGCAGCAACGCCGCGUGAAGGAAGAAGGGCCUUCGGGUUGUAAACUUUUUUGAUUGGGGAAGAACAAAAAUGACGGUACCCAAGGAACAAGCCACGGCUAACUACGUGCCAGCAGCCGCGGUAAUACGUAGGUGGCGAGCGUUGUCCGGAAUUACUGGGUGUAAAGGGCGUGUAGGCGGGAUUGUAAGUCAGAUGUGAAAUUCCAGGGUGCUUAACUCCUGGAGGGGUGCAUCUGAAACUAUAAUUCUUGAGUGGGCUGGAGAAAGGAAAGCGGAAUUCCCUAUGUGUAGCGGUGAAAUGCGUAGAAUAUUAGGAAGAAACACCANNGUGGCGAAGGCGGCUUUCCUGGACAGUAACUGACGCUGAGGCGCGANAAGCGUGGGGGGAGCCAAACAGCGAUUAGAUACCCUGGUAGUCCACGCUGUAAACGAUGGAU